AAUAAAAGAUCAGAAUACAUCACAAUUAAGAGAGAGAAAAAGAGAGAGAAAUAGAGAGAGUUAUGAAUUUUAUGAGUGUUUUUCAAUCUUGUUAGAUAUUUUCAAAGGUCUUCAAAUUCAUAGAACAAUGAAUCCUAGAAUUCUCUUAGUCUCUCUAAAUUUCUCUUAUAACAAAAAAUAAUAAUUAAAUAGUCACCUGAAAACCAUUUCAUAAACUAAAAUAUCACACUAAUUAACACGCAAUUUAGUGAUGUGAUAAAUUACGUCGUCAUAAAAAUGCAAGUUACAACUUAUAUGUAAAAUGAAAAACAUUAAAAUCAAAUCACAACUUAUUAGAAUUAUCAACACUUUCAUUUCUAUCACCUUUUUAUUUUUCCACCACAAAUCCACCAGACCUUAUUAUUCCACCACCACUUAUCCCUAUAGAUAGCGAUACCACAAAAUCCAUUUUCAUUUUCAUAUUUAUUACUUGGAAUUUUACUUCCCCCUCCCAUGGUUUCAAAACUUCCACAAGAAUCACCAUUUUCACCAGGCCAAACCCAACAUCAAAGAUUAUACAACAACCAUCGAUUCUCGCUACUCUAACAUCAGAUGUUAUUCUUUCUUUUCUAGAAAUUCCACAAGAACCACAUAUUUCAC
RNAcentral lists this long non-coding RNA (639 nucleotides) under Lathyrus oleraceus (garden pea). RNAcentral describes it as "Pisum sativum (pea) long non-coding RNA (PSAT_LNC013031)". Lineage: Eukaryota; Viridiplantae; Streptophyta; Magnoliopsida; Fabales; Fabaceae. The record is from RNAcentral.